AGAGUUCGAUCAUGGCUCAGGAUGAACGCUAGCUACAGGCUUAACACAUGCAAGUCGAGGGGCAGCAUGAAUCAAGCUUGCUUGAUUUGAUGGCGACCGGCGCACGGGUGCGUAACACGUAUCCAAUCUACCCAUGGCUCAGGGAUAGCCUUUCGAAAGAAAGAUUAAUACCUGAUGGUUUCAUGAGCCCGCAUGGACUUAUGAAUAAAGAUUUAUCGGCGAUGGAUGAGGAUGUUUUCGAUUAGAUAGUAGGCGGGGUAACGGCCCACCUAGUCGACGAUCGGUAGGGGCUCUGAGAGGAGGAUCCCCCACAUUGGAACUGAGCCAGGAUCAAACUC
Molecule: ribosomal RNA, 338 nt
Filed under: uncultured Prevotellaceae bacterium
Lineage: Bacteria; Pseudomonadati; Bacteroidota; Bacteroidia; Bacteroidales; Prevotellaceae
Description: bacterial SSU rRNA
Rfam family: Bacterial small subunit ribosomal RNA
Source: RNAcentral